GGGUUGUGAGGUUAAGCGACUAAGCGUACACGGUGGAUGCCCUGGCAGUCAGAGGCGAUGAAGGACGUGCUAAUCUGCGAAAAGCGUCGGUAAGGUGAUAUGAACCGUUAUAACCGGCGAUGUCCGAAUGGGGAAACCCAGUGCAAUUCGUUGCACUAUCGUUAACUGAAUACAUAGGUUAACGAGGCGAACCGGGGGAACUGAAACAUCUAAGUACCCCGAGGAAAAGAAAUCAACCGAGAUUCCCCAGUAGCGGCGAGCGAACGGGGAGCAGCCCAGAGUCUGAAUCAGCUUGUGUGUUAGUGGAACGGUCUGGAAAGUCCGACGGUACAGGGUGAUAGUCCCGUACACCAAAAUGCACAGGUUGUGAACUCGAAGAGUAGGGCGGGACACGUGGUAUCCUGUCUGAAUAUGGGGGGACCAUCCUCCAAGGCUAAAUACUCCUGACUGACCGAUAGUGAACCAGUACCGUGAGGGAAAGGCGAAAAGAACCCCGGCGAGGGGAGUGAAAAAGAACCUGAAACCGUGUACGUACAAGCAGUGGGAGCACCUUCGGGUGUGACUGCGUACCUUUUGUAUAAUGGGUCAGCGACUUAUAUUCUGUAGCAAGGUUAACCGUAUAGGGGAGCCGCAGGGAAACCGAGUCUUAACUGGGCGUUAAGUUGCAGGGUAUAGACCCGAAACCCGGUGAUCUAGCCAUGGGCAGGUUGAAGGUUGGGUAACACUAACUGGAGGACCGAACCGACUAAUGUUGAAAAAUUAGCGGAUGACUUGUGGCUGGGGGUGAAAGGCCAAUCAAACCGGGAGAUAGCUGGUUCUCCCCGAAAGCUAUUUAGGUAGCGCCUCGUGAACUCAUCUUCGGGGGUAGAGCACUGUUUCGGCUAGGGGGUCAUCCCGACUUACCAACCCGAUGCAAACUACGAAUACCGAAGAAUGUUAUCACGGGAGACACACGGCGGGUGCUAACGUCCGUCGUGAAGAGGGAAACAACCCAGACCGCCAGCUAAGGUCCCAAAGUCAUGGUUAAGUGGGAAACGAUGUGGGAAGGCACAGACAGCCAGGAUGUUGGCUUAGAAGCAGCCAUCAUUUAAAGAAAGCGUAAUAGCUCACUGGUCGAGUCGGCCUGCGCGGAAGAUGUAACGGGGCUAAACCAUGCACCGAAGCUGCGGCAGCGACACUAUGUGUUGUUGGGUAGGGGAGCGUUCUGUAAGCCUGCGAAGGUGACCUGUGAGGGUUGCUGGAGGUAUCAGAAGUGCGAAUGCUGACAUAAGUAACGAUAAAGCGGGUGAAAAGCCCGCUCGCCGGAAGACCAAGGGUUCCUGUCCAACGUUAAUCGGGGCAGGGUGAGUCGACCCCUAAGGCGAGGCCGAAAGGCGUAGUCGAUGGGAAACAGGUUAAUAUUCCUGUACUUGGUGUUACUGCGAAGGGGGGACGGAGAAGGCUAUGUUAGCCGGGCGACGGUUGUCCCGGUUUAAGCAUGUAGGCUGAUUAUCCAGGCAAAUCCGGAUAAUCAAGGCUGAGGUGUGAUGACGAGGCACUACGGUGCUGAAGUAACAAAUGCCCUGCUUCCAGGAAAAGCCUCUAAGCAUCAGGUAACAUCAAAUCGUACCCCAAACCGACACAGGUGGUCAGGUAGAGAAUACCAAGGCGCUUGAGAGAACUCGGGUGAAGGAACUAGGCAAAAUGGUGCCGUAACUUCGGGAGAAGGCACGCUGGUGUGUAGGUGAAGCCCCUGCGGGUGGAGCUGAGACCAGUCGAAGAUACCAGCUGGCUGCAACUGUUUAUUAAAAACACAGCACUGUGCAAACACGAAAGUGGACGUAUACGGUGUGACGCCUGCCCGGUGCCGGAAGGUUAAUUGAUGGGGUUAUCCGUAAGGAGAAGCUCUUGAUCGAAGCCCCGGUAAACGGCGGCCGUAACUAUAACGGUCCUAAGGUAGCGAAAUUCCUUGUCGGGUAAGUUCCGACCUGCACGAAUGGCGUAAUGAUGGCCAGGCUGUCUCCACCCGAGACUCAGUGAAAUUGAACUCGCUGUGAAGAUGCAGUGUACCCGCGGCAAGACGGAAAGACCCCGUGAACCUUUACUAUAGCUUGACACUGAACAUUGAGCCUUGAUGUGUAGGAUAGGUGGGAGGCUUUGAAGCGUGGACGCCAGUCUGCGUGGAGCCAACCUUGAAAUACCACCCUUUAAUGUUUGAUGUUCUAACGUUGGCCCCUGACCGGGGUUGCGGACAGUGUCUGGUGGGUAGUUUGACUGGGGCGGUCUCCUCCCAAAGCGUAACGGAGGAGCACGAAGGUUAGCUAAUCCUGGUCGGACAUCAGGAGGUUAGUGCAAUGGCAUAAGCUAGCUUGACUGCGAGCGUGACGGCGCGAGCAGGUGCGAAAGCAGGUCAUAGUGAUCCGGUGGUUCUGAAUGGAAGGGCCAUCGCUCAACGGAUAAAAGGUACUCCGGGGAUAACAGGCUGAUACCGCCCAAGAGUUCAUAUCGACGGCGGUGUUUGGCACCUCGAUGUCGGCUCAUCACAUCCUGGGGCUGAAGUAGGUCCCAAGGGUAUGGCUGUUCGCCAUUUAAAGUGGUACGCGAGCUGGGUUUAGAACGUCGUGAGACAGUUCGGUCCCUAUCUGCCGUGGGCGCUGGAGAAUUGAGGGGGGCUGCUCCUAGUACGAGAGGACCGGAGUGGACGCAUCACUGGUGUUCGGGUUGUCAUGCCAAUGGCACUGCCCGGUAGCUAAAUGCGGAAGAGAUAAGUGCUGAAAGCAUCUAAGCACGAAACUUGCCCCGAGAUGAGUUCUCCCUGAGACUUUAAGUCUCCUGAAGGAACGUUGAAGACGACGACGUUGAUAGGCCGGGUGUGUAAGCGCAGCGAUGCGUUGAGCUAACCGGUACUAAUGAACCGUGAGGCUUAACCUUACAACGCCGAAG
Molecule: ribosomal RNA, 2922 nt
Filed under: Klebsiella pneumoniae
Lineage: Bacteria; Pseudomonadati; Pseudomonadota; Gammaproteobacteria; Enterobacterales; Enterobacteriaceae
Description: bacterial LSU rRNA
Rfam family: Bacterial large subunit ribosomal RNA
Source: RNAcentral